AGAAGAGAGCUGGGUCGACGGCCGACCGUUCGGGACCGGUGCGGCGGUCUGUGGCGGCCGGACGGCGACGGACGGGACUGGGUUAUCCGGCGGGUCGGGAAGAGUUCGGGAGAAAAAGGAGAGAGAAGGGAGAGAGGGAGAGAGAAUGGGGUUUGGGCUCUCCAAAUCCUACCCGGUCCAACUUAAAACCCACAACAAAUAAAGCCUACUAGAAUUUACCUCAUUUUACCAACAUAGAAACUUUAGUUAUUAGACCAUAACUUCUUCAUACGAACACCGUUUUAAGCGUGCCGCAUGUCCACGAACUCUGUUUAACGUCCUCUACGACUUUCAUGAAGGAAGUUUUCCCAAAUUCCAAACGGAAAAAAAGUCAAUUUUUGGAGUCUUAAAUAGUAAACGGUUACUUAAAACGGUAAAAAGUCAAAGUAACCCAAUAGUAAAUAACUGCAAAUUGACUUAAGAACCGGGAUGUGACAAAGGUAACAUUUUUAUGCCGAAAUGCACAAAUCUUUACUAAAGUCUUAACAAACCAUAUUAUUUUAAGACUAUUUUACCCUCACCCCUUAAACAUGCAUAGAGAGAGAAAGUGGAAGAAAAAGAAUAAUUGGCCGGAACCUCACCGACUCCGGUUACCAGCCGCCGGACUCUGGUCAACGGCCGCGGGACUCCGGUCACCGGCCGUCGGACUCCGGUCACCGGAAUUUCCCCAGUAACCAGUUACUGACCCCUAGUAACCAGUUAAUGGCCAAUUAUUGACACCCAAUAACCAGUUAUUGACUCCCAAUAACUAGUUAUUGACCAGUUACUGACACCUAGUAACUAGUUACUGACCCCUAGUAAUUGAGUUACUUUGGUCACCGGCUGUCGGAAUUGAGUUACUGACCCCCAAUAACUGAAUAACUCGAGUUAUUGACCCUCAAUAAUCGAUUAUUGACCUCAGUAAUCGCUUACUGACCCUCAGUAAUCGAUUACUGACCCUAGUAAUCGAGUUACUGACGCCCAGUAAUCGAUUAUUGACCCUCAGUAAUAGAGUUACUGACACCCAGUAAUCUGCAACUGACCCCAAUAAUCAUGUUAAAAUAUAACUUUCUGUUCAAAA
Molecule: long non-coding RNA, 1099 nt
Filed under: Fragaria vesca (wild strawberry)
Lineage: Eukaryota; Viridiplantae; Streptophyta; Magnoliopsida; Rosales; Rosaceae
Description: long non-coding RNA (FVES_LNC004479)
Source: RNAcentral